GACGAACGCUGGCGGCGUGCUUAACACAUGCAAGUCGAACGGAAAGGCCCUGCUUUUGUGGGGUGCUCGAGUGGCGAACGGGUGAGUAAAACGUGAGUAACCUGCACUUGACUUAGGGAUAACUUCAGGAAACUGGGGCUAAUAUCGGAUAGGAGCUCCUGAUGCAUGGUGGGGGUUGGAAAGUUUCGGCGGUUGGGGAUGGACUCGCGGCUUAUCAGCUUGUUUGUGGGGUAGUGGCUUACCAAGGCUUGGACGGGUAGCCGGCCUGAGAGGGUGACCGGCCACAUUGGGACUGAGAUACGGCCCAGACUCCUACGGGAGGCAGCAGUGGGGAAUAUUGCACAAUGGGCGGAAGCCUGAUGCAGCAACGCCGCGUGCGGGAUGACGGCCUUCGGGUUGUAAACCGCUUUCGCCUGUGACGAAGCGUGAGUGACGGUAAUGGGUAAAGAAGCACCGGCUAACUACGUG
RNAcentral lists this ribosomal RNA (468 nucleotides) under uncultured bacterium. RNAcentral describes it as "partial 16S ribosomal RNA". It matches the Rfam family "Bacterial small subunit ribosomal RNA", at positions 28 to 507 of the family's 1533-position model. The record is from RNAcentral.